AACGCACAUUGCGCCCCUUGGUAUUCCAUGGGGCAUGCCUGUUCGAGCGUCAUUUGUACCCUCAAGCUCUGCUUGGUGUUGGGCGUUUGUCCUGUCUCUGCACAGGACUCGCCUCAAAGCAAUUGGCAGCCGGCGUAUUGGCCUGGAGCGCAGCACAUUUUGCGGUCUCUGUCCAGCUACGGCGGCAUCCAUCAAGCCUCUUCUCACUUUUGACCUCGGAUCAGGUAGGGAUACCCGCUGAACUUAA
This 247-nucleotide unclassified non-coding RNA is filed under the name uncultured fungus. RNAcentral describes it as "partial contains 5.8S ribosomal RNA, internal transcribed spacer 2, and large subunit ribosomal RNA". Lineage: Eukaryota; Fungi. The record is from RNAcentral.